This 54-nucleotide transfer RNA is filed under the name Cyriopagopus hainanus. RNAcentral's name for it is "tRNA-Gly". The record is from RNAcentral. Lineage: Eukaryota; Metazoa; Arthropoda; Arachnida; Araneae; Theraphosidae.
GAAAGAGAAGUAUUUAGUACAAGUGAUUUCCAAUCAUUAAGAGGAAUAUUUUAA